This is a long non-coding RNA of Peromyscus eremicus (cactus mouse), 2411 nucleotides long. RefSeq lists it as uncharacterized. The transcript is spliced from 10 exons. Lineage: Eukaryota; Metazoa; Chordata; Mammalia; Rodentia; Cricetidae. The record is from RefSeq and is a predicted model, not a curated record.
CUGUGUACAAUCGUGCUCAUCAGCUUGCUAGCUUGGUUUGAAAAAUUCUGGAAGAAGAUGGUGAUCACUGGAAGGAGCUGGAGAAGCCACACCUGAUUCCUUCUUCCCGGGACUGACGCCCUCCUGGUAUACCCUACACCAGGACCUCACGUGACUGACUUGUGCUUGGUGAUUGAAUCAUUCAUUCAGCAAACACCUCUGAGUGCCAGCUCUGUCUUUCUGAAGUCACUAGAUGGGAAAGAGAGGUCACUGGACUCUCGUGUGGCUCUCACUCAAAUAGUAAGUUCCUUGAGAAUGUGGACAGUGUCUGCUCAUGUGCACCUUCAUCUCCUUGAUACCCAGGGCAGUGCCCCGCACAGAGUAAAUGCUCUGAAGUACUUCCUGAAUAAAUGUGACGGAUAGUGUUACCAGUCAUCUUGAUAAUCUGGAAUCACCAAGAGACCACUGAAGAUAUCUGAGGACAGAAAAAACAGACUAGAAAUAUGCUCACAAUGGAGGGAGAGAGAAAAAGACAGAACAUAAUAAAAUAACCAAAAAUAGAGGCUGAAGACAAGAGCUGUCGUGCUCAUAGAUGUAUGGAGGAGUAACCUGGAACUCGAGCUGCAUUAAGUCGAUGGACUGGAAGUGACCAUACAGUUGAAAAGUUGAGUCUUAUUCUUGGGUGCCGGAGACCAAUGAGGAAAGGCUCACCUGGAUCACCUCCUGGGAUGCCUCUCUGUUCUACAGAUCCUUUUCUGGGCCAAACAGUGCCACCUCUGCUGUGGAUGCUGGGCAUGCAUUUAAGGGAAGAUGUGCUGAGCCUCCAUUUGUCUGACCCUGACCCUGAGUGUGGGGAAUGUGGAUCAGGAAGAGAUAGAGGGGAACUUACAGCACCCCUGGAGCCCAAGCAUAACCUGGCAGCCAGUGACCAUCGCUGUGAGGAAGCAAGCUCAAAGAGGCAAGCUCAUUUCAGUGUUUAUGGAAGCAAAACACGCCCAAGCUGUUGAAUACCCGGAUCUUCUCCAAAGACCUCCGGGCAGGUCACUAAUGAGCCAGUGGAAGCAGAGGCCAAGGAUGCCUCUGUGAACAUCAGCAGGAAGUUCCACCUGUGAGCCAGGGCAAGUGGGCUGGAGAGACCGCUCAGUGAGAGAGAGUACUGGCUGUUCUUCCAGAAGACAGGUUCUAUUGCCAGCACCCACAUGGCUGAUUCCAAGUGUCUGUAACUCUAGUUCCAGAGGAUCUGAUGCCCUCUUCUGGCCUCUGCAGGUAACAGACACACUGUGUGCUGCCCAGAUCCUCUUCUGGAAGGAACCACUAGCCAGUGAAAUAUCAGACACAUCUCCAAGGACUGCACCUUCAGAGACCUAGGUCUCUUUCCAGGGAGCUUCACAGCCAAGGAUGGUCAACGUCAGAUACUUCUACCUCUUUGUUACCCUCCUCUCCUCAUUCUUACCACAGGCUGGUCCCAUUGCCUCCCUGGUAAAUAAACAUCCUGCAACCUGGGCCUCCACCUCAGGCUAUCCAUGGGAUGUGACCUACGGUUGGAUUGACUCUCUUCAACUCUAUAGCCUUCAUUUCCUCUAGAUAGAUGGCUCUGAGCCCUCUAGGUCCAAGUGAGGUCCCGGCUGCUCCCAAGUGUAAACAGAGCAGCCAUUACUCUCCGUACAUCCCCAGGUACUGUGCUUACAAAGCUCUUUUGUGUUUAAAGUCUCAUCUGCUCACUCAUGUCUUUUCCCUAAUGACAUGGUGGAGCACCAGCUCAAUGUGGGAGUGAAGAGAUAAGGAAGAAAAUAGCUUUCCCUUCCUCGGAGAACUUGCAGCCCAGCAUAGCAGGCUGAUGCCCAUCCACUGAAGUCUCCCAGGUACUAAGGGUCACCAUGUGGAGGUCACAGAAGCCAUGAAGUGGAGCAGAGCAUAUGGCAAUCGAGGACAGUUUCUGGGAGAGAGGUGGCUGUGUAGAACCUGGAACUAGCAAGUGGAGAGCAAUCAACACAGCACUGGGCCUGAUCCAUUCUACCCCACAUACUUCCCACAGUGCAUCACUGCACACAGGAGGGUCUAUUGAUCUAAGCCAGGGGGCGAGGGUGGGAGGAGCCCAGUGGGUUCUGCUUCCCUCUAGGACUGCCUUCCUCCCUCUGCAUCAUCGGCUGGGGUCCAGGAAGUUGAGCUGGGCAGACAGAGGAGUGGAAGGGAAGGAUGGAAGUCCCAAGUGAUAGGUGGUAGGAUUCCAGCUAAUGAAUGUUUGAUCUUGGCAAACUGCCCCAGAUUCCACUUCAUGCCCUGGACUAACUAAAUCUUCCUUUGCUACUCUCCAAAGUCAACACAAUUUUCUAAAGUUUGUAACUUUGGUAGAAGAACUUAGAGAAAUAGAUGAAAACAAAACACAUGUAAGUAAGCUGUUAGCCCUUGACUGUAUUUGGGGCAUACUGAUG